ACGGCUCAGUAACACGUGGCUAAUCUGCCCUUGGGACGAGAACAACCCCGGGAAACUGGGGCUAACCCUCGAUCGGUGAAGAACUCUGGAAUGAGUCUUCACUUAAACAGAUUCACGUUAUGCUCGUGAAUCCGCCCAAGGAUGAGGCCGCGACCGAUCAGGUUGUUGGUGAGGUAAUGGCUCACCAAGCCUUUUACCGGUGCGGGCCGUGAGAGCGGGAGCCCGGAGAUGGGCACUGAGACAAGGGCCCAGGCCCUACGGGGCGCAGCAGUCGCGAAAACUUUGCAAUAAGCGAAAGCUUGACAGGGCUAUCCCGAGUGCCAUCCGCUGAGGAAGGCUUUUACCCAGUCUAGAACGCUGGGGGAAUAAGGAGAGGGCAAGUCUGGUGUCAGCCGCCGCGGUAAUACCAGCUCUUCGAGUGGUGUGGAUGUUUAUUGGGCCUAAAGCAUCCGUAGCUGGCUAAGUUAGUCCCUUGUUAAAUCCACCGAAUUAAUCGUUGGAUUGCGGGGGAUACUGCUUGGCUAGGGGACGAGAGAGGCAGACGGUAUUUUCGGGGUAGGGGUGAAAUCCUAUAAUCCCGGGAAGACCACCAGUGGCGAAGGCUGUCUGCUAGAACGCGCCCGACGGUGAGGGAUGAAAGCUGGGGGAGCGAACCGGAUUAGAUACCCGGGUAGUCCCAGCUGUAAACGAUGCAGGCUAGGUGUUUGGACGGCCACGUGCCGUUCUAGUGCCGCAGGGAAGCUGUUAAGCCUGCCGCCUGGGGAGUACGAUCGCAAGAUUGAAACUUAAAGGAAUUGGCGGGGGAGCAC
RNAcentral lists this ribosomal RNA (809 nucleotides) under uncultured archaeon. RNAcentral describes it as "bacterial SSU rRNA". It matches the Rfam family "Archaeal small subunit ribosomal RNA", at positions 85 to 879 of the family's 1478-position model. The record is from RNAcentral.